AUACGUAGGUGGCAAGCGUUAUCCGGAAUUAUUGGGCGUAAAGAGGGAGCAGGCGGCAGCAAGGGUCUGUGGUGAAAGCCUGAAGCUUAACUUCAGUAAGCCAUAGAAACCAGGCAGCUAGAGUGCAGGAGAGGAUCGUGGAAUUCCAUGUGUAGCGGUGAAAUGCGUAGGUAUAUGGAGGAACACCAGUGGCGAAGGCGACGAUCUGGCCUGCAACUGACGCUCAGUCCCGAAAGCGUGGGGAGCAAAUAGGAUUAGAUACCCUAGUAGUCCACGCCGUAAACGAUGAGUACUAAGUGUUGGAUGUCAAAGUUCAGUGCUGCAGUUAACGCAAUAAGUACUCCGCCUGAGUAGUACGUUCGCAAGAAUGAAACUCAAAGGAAUUGACGGGG
Molecule: ribosomal RNA, 392 nt
Filed under: uncultured bacterium
Lineage: Bacteria
Description: partial 16S ribosomal RNA
Rfam family: Bacterial small subunit ribosomal RNA
Source: RNAcentral